Molecule: ribosomal RNA, 253 nt
Filed under: uncultured bacterium
Lineage: Bacteria
Description: partial 16S ribosomal RNA
Rfam family: Bacterial small subunit ribosomal RNA
Source: RNAcentral
UACGAAGGGGGCUAGCGUUGCUCGGAAUUACUGGGCGUAAAGGGCGCGUAGGCGGAUAGUUUAGUCAGAGGUAAAAGCCCAGGGCUCAACCUUGGAACUGCCUUUGAUACUGUCUAGCUCGAGUCCGGAAGAGGAGUGUGGAAUUCCUGGUGUAGCGGUGAAAUGCGCAGAUAUCAGGAGGAACACCAAUGGCGAAGGCAGCACUCUGGGACGUGACUGACGCUGAGACGCGAAAGCGUGGGGAGCAAACAGG